This 361-nucleotide ribosomal RNA is filed under the name uncultured phototrophic eukaryote. RNAcentral describes it as "SSU rRNA". It matches the Rfam family "Bacterial small subunit ribosomal RNA", at positions 524 to 896 of the family's 1533-position model. The record is from RNAcentral.
GACGGGGGAUGCAAGCGUUAUUCGGAAUUAUUGGGCGUAAAGCGUCUGUAGGUGGUGAGGAAAGUAUGAUGUUAAAGACCAGGGCUCAACUCUGGGAGUGCAUUGUAAACUAUCUCACUUGAGUUCGGUAGGGGCAGGGAGAAUUCCCAGUGUAGCGGUGAAAUGCGUAGAUAUUGGGAGGAAGACCAGUGGCGAAGGCGUCCUGCUGGGCCGUAACUGACACUCAGAGACGAAAGCUAAGGGAGCAAAUAGGAUUAGAUACCCUAGUAGUCUUAGCUGUAAACGAUGCACACUAUGUUUUGCUUCAGAGCAAUAGCUAACGCGUUAAGUGUGCCGCCUGGGGAGUACAUUCGCAAGGAUG